UGUGACCUCAAAUCAGGUAGGACUACCCGCUGAACUUAAGCAUAUCAAUAAGCGGAGGAAAAGAAACUAACAAGGAUUCCCCUAGUAACUGCGAGUGAAGCGGGAAAAGCUCAAAUUUAAAAUCUGUCAGUCUUUGGCUGUCCGAGUUGUAAUCUAGAGAAGUGUUAUCCGCGCUGGACCGUGUACAAGUCUCCUGGAAUGGAGCGUCAUAGAGGGUGAGAAUCCCGUCUUUGACACGGACUGCCAGGGCUUUUGUGAUGCGCUCUCAAAGAGUCGAGUUGUUUGGGAAUGCAGCUCAAAAUGGGUGGUAAAUUCCAUCUAAAGCUAAAUAUUGGCGAGAGACCGAUAGCGAACAAGUACCGUGAGGGAAAGAUGAAAAGAACUUUGGAAAGAGAGUU
This 398-nucleotide ribosomal RNA is filed under the name Cortinarius pinguis. RNAcentral's name for it is "partial 28S ribosomal RNA". It matches the Rfam family "Eukaryotic large subunit ribosomal RNA", at positions 1 to 389 of the family's 3401-position model. The record is from RNAcentral. Lineage: Eukaryota; Fungi; Basidiomycota; Agaricomycetes; Agaricales; Cortinariaceae.